This 372-nucleotide ribosomal RNA is filed under the name uncultured organism. Its description in RNAcentral is "bacterial SSU rRNA". It matches the Rfam family "Bacterial small subunit ribosomal RNA", at positions 526 to 896 of the family's 1533-position model. The record is from RNAcentral.
CAGAGGUCCCGAGCGUUGUCCGGAUUCACUGGGCGUAAAGGGUGCGUAGGUGGUGAGGUAAGUCGGAUGUGAAAUCUCCGGGCUCAACCCGGAAAUGGCAUUGGAAACUACCUUGCUGGAGGAUUUGAGGGGGGAUUGGAAUACUUGGUGUAGCAGUGAAAUGCGUAGAUAUCAAGUGGAACACCAGUGGCGAAGGCGAAUCCCUGGAAAAUACCUGACACUGAGGCACGAAAGCUAGGGGAGCAAACAGGAUUAGAUACCCUGGUAGUCCUAGCCCUAAACGGUGCUUGCUUGCUGUAAGAGGAAUCGACCCCUCUUGUGGCGGAGCUAACGCGUUAAGCAAGCCGCCUGGGAAGUACGGUCGCAAGAUUA